RNAcentral lists this ribosomal RNA (253 nucleotides) under uncultured bacterium. Its description in RNAcentral is "partial 16S ribosomal RNA". It matches the Rfam family "Bacterial small subunit ribosomal RNA", at positions 524 to 776 of the family's 1533-position model. The record is from RNAcentral.
UACGUAGGGUGCAAGCGUUGUCCGGAAUUAUUGGGCGUAAAGAGCUCGUAGGCGGUCUGUUGCGUCGGCUGUGAAAACCCGGGGCUCAACCCCGGGCCUGCAGCCGAUACGGGCAGACUAGAGUUCGGCAGGGGAGACUGGAAUUCCUGGUGUAGCGGUGAAAUGCGCAGAUAUCAGGAGGAACACCGGUGGCGAAGGCGGGUCUCUGGGCCGGUACUGACGCUGAGGAGCGAAAGCGUGGGGAGCAAACAGG